GAGUUUGAUCUUGGCUCAGAUUGAACGCUGGCGGCAUGCCUUACACAUGCAAGUCGAACGGCAGCACGGGAGCUUGCUCCUGGUGGCGAGUGGCGAGCGGGUGAGUAAUGCAUCGGAACGUAUCCUGGAGUGGGGGAUAACGUAGCGAAAGUUACGCUAAUACCGCAUAUUCUGUGAGCAGGAAAGCGGGGGACCUUCGGGCCUCGCGCUCUUGGAGCGGCCGAGUGUCGGAUUAGCUAGUUAGGUGAGGUAAAGGCUCACCAAGGCGACGAUCCGUAGCAGGUCUGAGAGGAUGAUCUGCCACACUGGAACUGAGACACGGUCCAGACUCCUACGGGAGGCAGCAGUGGGGAACUUUUGGGACAAUGGGGGCAACCCUGAUCCAGCCAUGCCGCGUGAGUGAAGAAGGCCUC
Molecule: ribosomal RNA, 413 nt
Filed under: bacterium enrichment culture clone ALO1_GLFRUDD03FVF0Z
Lineage: Bacteria
Description: bacterial SSU rRNA
Rfam family: Bacterial small subunit ribosomal RNA
Source: RNAcentral